AGCAGUAGCCACGGGAAUACGAAGGGUGCAAGCGUUAAUCGGAAUUACUGGGCGUAAAGCGUGCGUAGGCGGUUUGUUAAGUCUGCUGUGAAAUCCCCGGGCUCAACCUGGGAAUGGCAGUGGAUACUGGCAAGCUAGAGUGUGUCAGAGGAUGGUGGAAUUCCCGGUGUAGCGGUGAAAUGCGUAGAGAUCGGGAGGAACAUCAGUGGCGAAGGCGGCCAUCUGGGACAACACUGACGCUGAGGCACGAAAGCGUGGGGAGCAAACAGGAUUAGAUACCCCCGUAGUCCCUGUCUCUUAUAC
RNAcentral lists this ribosomal RNA (303 nucleotides) under uncultured bacterium. RNAcentral describes it as "partial 16S ribosomal RNA". It matches the Rfam family "Bacterial small subunit ribosomal RNA", at positions 507 to 807 of the family's 1533-position model. The record is from RNAcentral.